This 163-nucleotide ribosomal RNA is filed under the name Nauclea orientalis. RNAcentral describes it as "5.8S ribosomal RNA". It matches the Rfam family "5.8S ribosomal RNA". From Rfam's summary of the family: 5.8S ribosomal RNA (5.8S rRNA) is a component of the large subunit of the eukaryotic ribosome. It is transcribed by RNA polymerase I as part of the 45S precursor that also contains 18S and 28S rRNA. Lineage: Eukaryota; Viridiplantae; Streptophyta; Magnoliopsida; Gentianales; Rubiaceae. The record is from RNAcentral. RNAcentral also lists the same sequence under 2 other names.
CAAACGACUCUCGGCAACGGAUAUCUCGGCUCUCGCAUCGAUGAAGAACGUAGCGAAAUGCGAUACUUGGUGUGAAUUGCAGAAUCCCGUGAACCAUCGAGUCUUUGAACGCAAGUUGCGCCCGAAGCCGUCAGGCUGAGGGCACGUCUGCCUGGGCGUCACG